UUAAUAAUAAAUUUUAUUUAAAAAAAUGUAUGUAUUUUUUAUAAUUUUUUUCUUGCAUAAAAGUUUUUAAAAAUAAAUUUGAUAUUUUUUUUAGAAAACUCUAAUUAGAGAAUAGUAUUAUAUUUUUCAUAAAUUUUAAAUAAUAUAAAAUUAUAUUUGAGAGUAAAAUUAGUAUUAUGAUAUCCUAUAAUUUUUUAGUUUAUAUGAACAAAAUAAUAGAAUGGAAAUAACUCAUUCUAAUUUUCAAUUCAAAAUGAACCAAACGCCUUGGGGGAGUUGGUCAAUCCAAUUAUCAUUUCAAUUCAUUCGCAUUCCAUUAUCCAUUCCAAUUCCACCCUUGAACCAAACAAGCCCUAAGUGAAAUGUCAAUUUUGCCAUCAUAAAUAUGUCCCUCCAAAAGCCACAACAGCAUAAUAUAAGAGGGACAAAAAUAUCAUGUUAUCUCAUAAAUUAAUCAGAGUUAAGCACUAAUUUAACAUAUGGUUAAUUAAAUUUUUUUUAACAGAUUCUAACGAAAGAGACAUAUUUGAAAACAUUAGGAUUUUUGUAGGGACAACAUAUAAAAGUUGAAUUUUAUAUGAAUAUAUUUGCAAUUCACUAUAUUUGCAGGAACCUGUAUGAAAUUAACCCUUAUUUUAUUUAUUAAAUGAUGUAACAAGUAAAAAAAAUCACAUGUAUUAAAUUAAUGGGUACAGAUUAUAUAUUUCAAAAUAAAAAAGUCUAUUAUGUAACGCUUAUACUAUAUCAUCAAUAAUCAGUCAAUCACAUUUCUUUUUUUUUAAGAGAAAAAUAAAUUAAAAAUAUUUUUUUAAUAAUCAUGAUGGAAUGGAUGAAUUUAAAACAAUAAUCUAAGUGAUUGAAAAUGUUACAUUAAUAAUAUAACUAGUGCAUUCUAGAUUUUUUUUUUCUCAAAAGAGGGUCUCCAAUAAUAUACUUUUUGUCCUUUCCAAAUCUUUCUCCUUUUUUCCUCCAUGAGGGAUGUCAACGGGUUGGAUUCAGGGCGGGUUUUUAAAAAUCCAAACCCAAAGUCGACUAUCAAAUCCAAAAUCAGAAUCCGAACCUAAAUCCGACGGAUUUUAAAAAUUCAUAUCUAAAUCUGAACCGGACUAAAAAUUCGAAACCUGAAUUUGAACCCGCAAACCCAAACCCCAAACCCCAAACAAUUAUAUUAUAAUAAUAUAAAAUCAAUUCGUACUCGUAUCGGGUUCGAAUUCUGAUAGGAUAUAGUCAAAAUCUAUAUUCAAAUUCAAAUCCAUCAAAUUUUGGUUUUUGAUAUCUAUAUUCAAAACU
RNAcentral lists this long non-coding RNA (1290 nucleotides) under Ananas comosus (pineapple). RNAcentral's name for it is "long non-coding RNA (ACOM_LNC038054)". The record is from RNAcentral. Lineage: Eukaryota; Viridiplantae; Streptophyta; Magnoliopsida; Poales; Bromeliaceae.